GACGAACGCUGGCGGCGUGCUUAACACAUGCAAGUCGAACGGAAAGGCCCUGCUUUUGUGGGGUGCUCGAGUGGCGAACGGGUGAGUAACACGUGAGUAACCUGCCCUUGACUUUGGGAUAACUUCAGGAAACUGGGGCUAAUACCGGAUAGGAGCUCCUGCUGCAUGGUGGGGGUUGGAAAGUUUCGGCGGUUGGGGAUGGACUCGCGGCUUAUCAGCUUGUUGGUGUGGUAGUGGCUUACCAAGGCUUUGACGGGUAGCCGGCCUGAGAGGGGGACCGGCCACAUUGGGACUGAGAUACGGCCCAGACGCCUACGGGAGGCAGCAGUGGGGAAUAUUGCACAAUGGGCGGACGCCUGAUGCAGCAACGCCGCGUGCGGGAUGACGUCCUUCGGGGUGUAAACCGCUUUCGCCUGUGACGAAGCGUGAGUGACGGUAAUGGGUAAAGAAGCACCGGCUAACUACGUG
RNAcentral lists this ribosomal RNA (468 nucleotides) under uncultured bacterium. RNAcentral describes it as "partial 16S ribosomal RNA". It matches the Rfam family "Bacterial small subunit ribosomal RNA", at positions 28 to 507 of the family's 1533-position model. The record is from RNAcentral.